CAGUAGCCGCGGUAAUACGUAGGUGGCAAGCGUUGUCCGGAAUUAUUGGGCGUAAAGGGCUCGCAGGCGGUUUCUUAAGUCUGAUGUGAAAGCCCCCGGCUCAACCGGGGAGGGUCAUUGGAAACUGGGAAACUUGAGUGCAGAAGAGGAGAGUGGAAUUCCACGUGUAGCGGCGAAAUGCGUAGAGAUGUGGAGGAACACCAGUGGCGAAGGCGACUCUCUGGUCUGUAAUUGACGCUGAGGAGCGAAAGCGUGGGGAGCGAACAGGAUUAGAUACCCGCGUAGUCCCUGUCUCUUAUAC
Molecule: ribosomal RNA, 301 nt
Filed under: uncultured bacterium
Lineage: Bacteria
Description: partial 16S ribosomal RNA
Rfam family: Bacterial small subunit ribosomal RNA
Source: RNAcentral